AAGGGGCACGCGCAACCUUGCUGACUAGGAGGGGCGCCUCCGAUCUCUCCCUCCUCCCCCUCCCUCUCGUCGCUGUGCGUGCCUACGUACGUACGUACGCCCCUUUGGGAACUGCAGGGGCGCUCCGUGACGACACCACGUUAACGCUGACGCUCCGACGUCCGUUCCGAUGAAUAUGCAAAUAUGCGGCGAAAGGGAUACGGGUUCAAGCCCUGAUCUGGGAAGAUCCCACAUGCCGCGGAGCAGCUAAGCCCGUGCGCCACAACUACUGAGCCUGCGCCCUAGACCCUGCGAGCCACAACUACUGAGUCCGUGUGCCACAACUACUGAAACUCGCGCACUCUAGGGCCCAUGCUCCACAAGAGAAGGCACCGCAAUGAGAAACCCGGCGCCGCACAGAAGAGUAGCCCUGCUCACCGCAAGUGGAGAAAGCCCCUGCACAGCAACGAAGACCCACCACAGCCAAAAAUAAAUAAAUAAAUAAAU
Long non-coding RNA from Kogia breviceps (pygmy sperm whale), 486 nucleotides. RefSeq lists it as uncharacterized. Lineage: Eukaryota; Metazoa; Chordata; Mammalia; Artiodactyla; Physeteridae. The record is from RefSeq and is a predicted model, not a curated record.